This is a long non-coding RNA of Gordionus sp. m RMFG-2023, 422 nucleotides long. RefSeq lists it as uncharacterized. The record is from RefSeq and is a predicted model, not a curated record. The transcript has 4 exons. NCBI's taxonomy places the organism in Eukaryota, Metazoa, Nematomorpha, Gordioida, Chordodea, Parachordodidae.
AUUUUGAGAGUUUUAGUUAGAAAAAUAUUUGGUUACAUUCGAUAUAGUGUUAUAUAAAAGAUUACUGGUUUAAUUUAUUAAUAAACUUAUAAUGUUACAAAUUAAUUCUCUAUUCCUAUGAAUAGAUAUUAAUUGCUUUUGCAUUCAUUUCCGCUCGAUAACACAAUCCAGUAUGCCUGAAAAUUCAGACAAUGUGAGACAAGCUGGAUACACGGCUUGGGGUACAGUUAGCGCACAAAAUAUUACCCACGUUUUUCAGACCGAAGCUACACCCGAUGGGGUUUGGGGCGCAUUUCAUAAAUUAUAACUACCAUUUCAAGAAAUUUAAAGAUAAUAUCUUGAGAAAUUAUGGGGGAAAUGAUAUAAAAAAUUAUAUUAACGCCUAAAUUUUUAUUUAUUAUAAUUAUAGCUUAUUUAAAAUA